This 398-nucleotide ribosomal RNA is filed under the name uncultured bacterium. RNAcentral describes it as "bacterial SSU rRNA". It matches the Rfam family "Bacterial small subunit ribosomal RNA", at positions 28 to 419 of the family's 1533-position model. The record is from RNAcentral.
GAUGAACGCUAGCGGCAGGCUUAACACAUGCAAGUCGAGGGCAGCAUGAAGGUUAGCAAUAACCUUUGAUGGCGACCGGCGCAAGGGUGCGUAACGCGUGAGCAACUUGCCCGUUUCAGGGGGAUAACCGGUGGAAACGCCGACUAAUACCCCAUGGCAUCAUUAGGAGGCAUCUCCUUCUGAUUAAAGAAUUUCGGAAACGGAUAGGCUCGCGUGACAUUAGCUAGACGGCGGGUAACGGCCCACCGUGGCGACGAUGUCUAGGGGUUCUGAGAGGAAGGUCCCCCACACUGGAACUGAGACACGGUCCAAACUCCUACGGGAGGCAGCAGUGAGGAAUAGUUGGUCAAUGGUCGGAAGACUGAACCAGCCAAGUAGCGUGAAGGAUGACUGCCCUA